This 546-nucleotide ribosomal RNA is filed under the name Salmonella enterica subsp. enterica serovar Enteritidis. Its description in RNAcentral is "partial 23S ribosomal RNA". It matches the Rfam family "Bacterial large subunit ribosomal RNA", at positions 1 to 577 of the family's 2925-position model. Lineage: Bacteria; Pseudomonadati; Pseudomonadota; Gammaproteobacteria; Enterobacterales; Enterobacteriaceae. The record is from RNAcentral.
GGGUUGUGAGGUUAAGCGACUAAGCGUACACGGUGGAUGCCCUGGCAGUCAGAGGCGAUGAAGGGCGUGCUAAUCUGCGAUAAGCGCCGGUAAGGUGAUAUGAACCGUUAUAACCGGCGAUACCCGAAUGGGGAAACCCAGUGUGAUUCGUCACACUAUCAUUAACUGAAUCCAUAGGUUAAUGAGGCGAACCGGGGGAACUGAAACAUCUAAGUACCCCGAGGAAAAGAAAUCAACCGAGAUUCCCCCAGUAGCGGCGAGCGAACGGGGAGGAGCCCAGAGCCUGAAUCAGCAUGUGUGUUAGUGGAAGCGUCUGGAAAGGCGCGCGAUACAGGGUGACAGCCCCGUACACAAAAGCGCAUGUGCUGUGAGCUCGAUGAGUAGGGCGGGACACGUGGUAUCCUGUCUGAAUAUGGGGGGACCAUCCUCCAAGGCUAAAUACUCCUGACUGACCGAUAGUGAACCAGUACCGUGAGGGAAAGGCGAAAAGAACCCCGGCGAGGGGAGUGAAAAAGAACCUGAAACCGUGUACGUACAAGCAGUGGG